AUUGAACGCUGGCGGCAUGCCUUACACAUGCAAGUCGAACGGCAGCGGGCCUUCGGGUGCCGGCGAGUGGCGAACGGGUGAGUAAUGCAUCGGAACGUGCCAUUGAGUGGGGGGAUAACGUAGCGAAAGUUACGCUAAUACCGCAUAUUCUGUGAGCAGGAAAGCAGGGGACCGCAAGGCCUUGCGCUCUUUGAGCGGCCGAUGUCAGAUUAGCUAGUUGGUGAGGUAAAGGCUUACCAAGGCGACGAUCUGUAGCGGGUCUGAGAGGAUGAUCCGCCACACUGGAACUGAGACACGGCCCAGACUCCUACGGGAGGCAGCAGUGGGGAAUUUUGGACAAUGGGCGCAAGCCUGAUCCAGCCAUUCCGCGUGCAGGAUGAAGGCCUCGGUUGU
RNAcentral lists this ribosomal RNA (393 nucleotides) under uncultured bacterium. RNAcentral describes it as "bacterial SSU rRNA". It matches the Rfam family "Bacterial small subunit ribosomal RNA", at positions 30 to 426 of the family's 1533-position model. The record is from RNAcentral.